UGACCUCAAAUCAGGUAGGACUACCCGCUGAACUUAAGCAUAUCAAUAAGCGGAGGAAAAGAAACUAACAAGGAUUCCCCUAGUAACUGCGAGUGAAGCGGGAAAAGCUCAAAUUUAAAAUCUGUCAGUCUUCAUGAUUGUCCGAGUUGUAAUCUAGAGAAGUGUUAUCCGCGCUGGACCGUGUACAAGUCUCCUGGAAUGGAGCGUCAUAGAGGGUGAGAAUCCCGUCUUUGACACGGACUGCCAGGGCUUUGUGAUGCGCUCUCAAAGAGUCGAGUUGUUUGGGAAUGCAGCUCAAAAUGGGUGGUAAAUUCCAUCUAAAGCUAAAUAUUGGCGAGAGACCGAUAGCGAACAAGUACCGUGAGGGAAAGAUGAAAAGAACUUUGGAAAGAGAGUUAAACAGUACGUGAAAUUGCUGAAAGGGAAACGCUUGAAGUCAGUCGCGUUGUCCAGGGAUCAACCUUGCUUUUGCUUGGUGUACUUUCUGGUUGACGGGUCAGCAUCAAUUUUGACUGUUGGAAAAAGGUCAAGGGAAUGUGGCAUCUUCGGAUGUGUUAUAGCCCUUGGUUGUAUACAAUGGUUGGGAUUGAGGAACUCAGCACGCCGCAAGGCCGGGUAUUAACCACGUACGUGCUUAGGAUGC
Molecule: ribosomal RNA, 643 nt
Filed under: Phlegmacium papulosum
Lineage: Eukaryota; Fungi; Basidiomycota; Agaricomycetes; Agaricales; Cortinariaceae
Description: eukaryotic LSU rRNA
Rfam family: Eukaryotic large subunit ribosomal RNA
Source: RNAcentral